Molecule: long non-coding RNA, 819 nt
Filed under: Vigna radiata
Lineage: Eukaryota; Viridiplantae; Streptophyta; Magnoliopsida; Fabales; Fabaceae
Description: long non-coding RNA (VRAD_LNC001983)
Source: RNAcentral
GCCUGUGGGCAGGCCUAAGUCCAGGAGGGGAAGUGCCUAUGCGGAGGAUGACGAUGAUGAGGAUGAUGAAGAGCCCAAUCCCAGAUGCACACAACAGAGUCACGAGACAUAUGAGAGCGAGUGGAGAUCCGGAUCAGAUGGACAGACUCUCCCGUUGUUUCAAUUUUUUGUUAUUUGUUUUUCAGUUCAGAUGUUAUAUUGUGGAACAUUGUUUAGUUGUUUAUGUUUGUGUUGUGAAGACAAUGACAUUUUGAUUUAAUGAAUGAUGUGUGUUUUGAUUAAUUGGUAUGAUUUUUAAAGAUGAGAACAUGUAGGAUUGUGGUGCAAUGUGCUUAAACUGUGAUCUUGUGCAUGAGUUGAACUAAGACCAGAUACUGUGGAGUGUUUGAGAGCAUGAAUGAGUGAAACAGAUGAGAUGAUAAAUUUGUUUGGAUAUGGAAUUGAUUUUUGCAUGAUUGUGAUUCUACAUACACACUUUUGGUUAAGGAUGAGAAAGGCAUUGUUCUUGUUAAAUUGUAUAGCUACUGGCCAAAUAGCUAACCUUCAUACGUUAUAUAUGAUACCAUUGUGAACCCUUUUAAGCCUUGAAAAUUUUUUCUUCCACCGUGAGCCAAUUAGAUGAUAUCCUACCUUACACUUUAGAAGAGAAUGAGUAUUAUGUUUUGAGUGAAGGUAUGAUUGAGUUAAAGUUUGGGGGAAGAAAAAUGUUCAAUAAUAAAAAAAAAAAGUUGAUGAAAAGGGUACAUGAUUUGAAGAAUUGAAGGUUGUAACCAGAAAGAAUAUGGUAGGAACCGAUGAUGAAUAAUUUGGGAUUGUGAU